This is a ribosomal RNA of Saimiri boliviensis boliviensis (Bolivian squirrel monkey), 121 nucleotides long. The record is from Ensembl. Lineage: Eukaryota; Metazoa; Chordata; Mammalia; Primates; Cebidae.
ACGGCUGGCCAUACCACCCUGAACAUGCCCGAUAUCUCCUCUGAUAUCUAAAGCUAAGCAGGGUUGGGCCUGGUUAGUACUUGGAUGGGAAACUCUUUAUCAUUAUGUAAUGUCUUCUUUG